AGAGUUUGAUCAUGGCUCAGGACGAACGCUGGCGGCGUGCUUCACACAUGCAAGUCGAACGAGGUCCAUCCGGUGGCAACACUGGAGAAGACCUAGUGGCGAACGGGUGCGUAACACGUGAGCAACCUGCCCCGAAGACCGGGAUAACAGCGGGAAACCGCUGCUAAUACCGGAUGCCCCCAUCGGGCCACAUGGCCUGA
This 200-nucleotide ribosomal RNA is filed under the name uncultured bacterium. Its description in RNAcentral is "partial 16S ribosomal RNA". It matches the Rfam family "Bacterial small subunit ribosomal RNA", at positions 8 to 198 of the family's 1533-position model. The record is from RNAcentral.